This 330-nucleotide ribosomal RNA is filed under the name Triticum aestivum (bread wheat). RNAcentral describes it as "partial small subunit ribosomal RNA". The record is from RNAcentral. Lineage: Eukaryota; Viridiplantae; Streptophyta; Magnoliopsida; Poales; Poaceae.
AUGGGCGAACAGAAAGAAGCAGCGGUGCCGAGCGUGGCCUAUGAGGGAGGAGGCAGCGGCGGCAGUGGAUCGAGAUCGACCUCAUGCAAAGGAAUCUUUAAAAAGAUGAAGUCAAUUGUUGCUUAUUUUGGAACUCCACCAUCUAAUGAAUUUCAAGCUCCUAUUCAUGUUCUUGUUCCUGAACCUGAUGCAAACAUUUUAUCCACUGAAGCCUCAGAUGCAAACAUUGUAGAAGAUGUAGUUCCUGAACCUGAAGUGUAUAAUGAGCGCUCUCAUGAUAACACUUUGCAAACUUCUAUUCUAGGAUUUAGUCACUUCGUUUUGUAUUAG